Molecule: ribosomal RNA, 119 nt
Filed under: Pteropus alecto (black flying fox)
Lineage: Eukaryota; Metazoa; Chordata; Mammalia; Chiroptera; Pteropodidae
Source: RNAcentral
GUCUACGGCCAUGCCACCCUGAACGUGCCCGAUCUUGUCUGGCCUCGGAAGCUAAGCAGGGUCGGGCCUGGUUAGUACUCGGAUGGGAGACCACCUAGGAAGACCAGGUGCUGUAGGCG